This 1149-nucleotide long non-coding RNA is filed under the name Lathyrus oleraceus (garden pea). RNAcentral's name for it is "Pisum sativum (pea) long non-coding RNA (PSAT_LNC000302)". Lineage: Eukaryota; Viridiplantae; Streptophyta; Magnoliopsida; Fabales; Fabaceae. The record is from RNAcentral.
UUGUUUCCUCUCCUUCUUACAAAACACGGUCGCUUCUCUCUCUCUUUCUCUCUCUUAUAUAAGCACUGCUUUUUCUUCAUCUUCCUCAUGUACUCGAUCCAAAUUAUUCCAUUUCCUUCUUAUAACAACUCUUUUUUGUUUCUAUUCAUCCGCCUAAAUAAACCAAUAUGCGACCACUUCCGCAUCCAAAACAUGAUUCCUUUUGUUCUAUCUAUACGUAACACUAACAACAAAAUCUGUAAUCAUGGUGAAAAACCUUAAAACGCGUGCGCAACUGAUAUAAAAUGAAGGACAAAACAAAAUGGAGUUAUGGUUUCGAUAUAACAUGCUCGUCCGGCCCAAGACCGAAUCCUGAACCAAAGCUUUCGAUCGACAUCGAGGAAGAACUCCAACCGAACUGACGUCUGUAUCAAUAUUCGCAGCAAAACUUGGUACAAACAAAUGCUUUUUUCAACAAAUAACACCAAAACGGAAGGGGAUCAGAAGUGGAAAUGAAAAAACAUAACUUGAUUCAACAAUAACUGUAAGUCACUUUUUCUCUUCCUUACUCAAUCUUCAAAAUUUCUCUUUAAAGUUUCUUGGUUCACUAACAGUAUAAUGGUUUAUAUCAAAUGUAACAAUUAGGUUUUUUUAAAUGUGCAUAGUUAUUUUGUUGUUGUUCUUGGUGAUGGGUUUUUUUUAUGAUUGUUGUUUUUUUUAAUCUCUUGAUUGUUAUUGUUGGGAUUUUUUUCUUAAAAAAACUGGCCUUCUCUGUUUUUUCGAAAUCCCCUUAUAUAAUGAAAAAAAAUCAAAAUUUUGAAUGGCAUGGGUUGAGUGAAAUGGAAAAGAGUAGAGGAAUCAAUUUUUUUGUCUGAAUUUUUUUGCAAUUUUUAUGAAAUUGGGACUGUUAUGCUAAAACUUGCUACUAUUAUGUAUUGCCUUUUUUAGUUUGACUCUUAUGAUUUGUAUCUUAUUCUAAAAUGGUGUUAACUUAAUGCUCUAUUUUACUACAUGUACAACACAAAAUUCUGCUCCACAAGUGCAGAGGGGUACUAUGGUUGAGGUGUAGAGAUGGUAGCAUGGCCUAAUUUAUUCAAGCCUUGAGAGAUCUACUUCUUUUGGACUUAUUCUCUUUCCUUUUUAAUGUAAUUUGUUACUGUGAAAACUUGU